AGAGUUUGAUCCUGGCUCAGGACGAACGCUGGCGGCGUGCUUAACACAUUGCAAGUCGAAGCGGAAAGGCCCUUUCGGGGUACUCGAGCGGCGAACGGGUGAGUAACACGUGAGCAACCUGCCCUUAGCUUCGGGAUAGCUCCGGGAAACCGGAAUUAAUACCGAAUAAGACACCGGCCGACAUCUGCUGGUGUGGAAAGAAUUUCGGCUAGGGAUGGACUCGCGGCCUAUCAGCUAGUUGGUGGGGUAACGGCCUACCAAGGCGACGACGGGUAGCCGGCCUGAGAGGGCGACCGGCCACACUGGGACUGAGACACGGCCCAGACUCCUACGGGAGGCAGCAGUGGGGAAUCUUGCGCAAUGGGCGGAAGCCUGACGCAGCAACGCCGCGUGGGGGAUGAAGGCCUUCGGGUUGUAAACCCCUUUCAGCAGGGACGAAGCGAAAGUGACGGUACCACCAGAGGAAGCACCGGCUAACUCCGUGCCAGCAGCCGCGGUAACACGUAGGGCGCAAGCGUUGUCCGGAAUUAUUGGGCGUAAAGAGCUCGUAGGCGGUCUGUUACGUCCGCUGUGAAAACCCGGGGCUUAACCCUUGGCUUGCAGUGGAUACGGGCAGACUAGAGGUAGGUAGGGGAGAAUGGAAUUCCCGGUGUAGCGGUGAAAUGCGCAGAUAUCGGGAGGAACACCGGGUGGCGAAAGCGGUUCUCUGGGCCUUACCUGACGCUGAGGAGCGAAAGCGUGGGGAGCGAACAGGAUUAGAUACCCUGGUAGUCCACGCUGUAAACGUUGGGCGCUAGGUGUGGGGUCCUUCCACGGAUUCCGU
This 823-nucleotide ribosomal RNA is filed under the name uncultured bacterium. RNAcentral describes it as "bacterial SSU rRNA". It matches the Rfam family "Bacterial small subunit ribosomal RNA", at positions 8 to 844 of the family's 1533-position model. The record is from RNAcentral.